Molecule: unclassified non-coding RNA, 492 nt
Filed under: Siloxerus multiflorus
Lineage: Eukaryota; Viridiplantae; Streptophyta; Magnoliopsida; Asterales; Asteraceae
Description: partial external transcribed spacer
Source: RNAcentral
UUUUGGCUACACGCGACUUGCCUUGCAUUUUGAGCAUGGUUGGUGGCUGAUAGCUGUGUGUUCUCGGGGAUGUCUACCGUAAAGGUGCAUGAGUGGUGUUUGGUUUGUUACGGGUGGAUGGCUGUCUGCUUGCGCACCAACUUCCACCCGACAUACCUCUUCAGAUUUGUGUCAAUGCUUGUAUUGCAUUAACGCAUCGUGGGUUUCUUGUGUUACAUGCCUAAUCAAUGGUAUCGUUUGAUGAAAUCGUGGCAAUCUUCAUCUUGUGUCGCACAUGCGAUGUGAGGUGAACUUGGAAGUAACCUUUGUAACCCACUCUUUCUAUUGCGAAGUCAUUGAUUUUGUGGUUCACUAAGUGUUGCUUGGUCUCAUUGAUAUUGAACGUUUUGUGGGCAUGAGUUCUUUCGUUAGCUACUUGUUUGCCCUAGUKAAGCUUUUCAAAUACGAUUUCCUACCGUGUCUUGACGCGGUAGGAUGCAUCGAAUAUGAAUG